RNAcentral lists this ribosomal RNA (460 nucleotides) under uncultured bacterium. Its description in RNAcentral is "partial 16S ribosomal RNA". It matches the Rfam family "Bacterial small subunit ribosomal RNA", at positions 338 to 795 of the family's 1533-position model. The record is from RNAcentral.
CCUACGGGAGGCAGCAGUGAGGAAUAUUGGUCAAUGGACGAGAGUCUGAACCAGCCAAGUAGCGUGAAGGAUGACUGCCCUAUGGGUUGUAAACUUCUUUUAUAUGGGAAUAAAAUGUUCCACGUGUGGGCUUUUGUAUGUACCAUAUGAAUAAGGAUCGGCUAACUCCGUGCCAGCAGCCGCGGUAAUACGGAGGAUCCGAGCGUUAUCCGGAUUUAUUGGGUUUAAAGGGAGCGUAGGUGGAUUGUUAAGUCAGUUGUGAAAGUUUGCGGCUCAACCGUAAAAUUGCAGUUGAAACUGGCAGUCUUGAGUACAGUAGAGGUAGGCGGAAUUCGUGGUGUAGCGGUGAAAUGCUUAGAUAUCACGAAGAACUCCGAUUGCGAAGGCAGCUCACUGGACUGCCACUGACACUGAGGCUCGAAAGUGUGGGUAUCAAACAGGAUUAGAUACCCUAGUAGUC